RNAcentral lists this ribosomal RNA (570 nucleotides) under Meyerozyma guilliermondii. RNAcentral's name for it is "eukaryotic LSU rRNA". It matches the Rfam family "Eukaryotic large subunit ribosomal RNA", at positions 62 to 648 of the family's 3401-position model. RNAcentral also lists the same sequence under 2 other names. The record is from RNAcentral. Lineage: Eukaryota; Fungi; Ascomycota; Pichiomycetes; Serinales; Debaryomycetaceae.
AAACCAACAGGGAUUGCCUUAGUAGCGGCGAGUGAAGCGGCAAAAGCUCAAAUUUGAAAUCUGGCGCCUUCGGUGUCCGAGUUGUAAUUUGAAGAUUGUAACCUUGGGGUUGGCUCUUGUCUAUGUUUCUUGGAACAGGACGUCACAGAGGGUGAGAAUCCCGUGCGAUGAGAUGCCCAAUCCUAUGUAAGGUGCUUUCGAAGAGUCGAGUUGUUUGGGAAUGCAGCUCUAAGUGGGUGGUAAAUUCCAUCUAAAGCUAAAUAUUGGCGAGAGACCGAUAGCGAACAAGUACAGUGAUGGAAAGAUGAAAAGAACUUUGAAAAGAGAGUGAAAAAGUACGUGAAAUUGUUGAAAGGGAAGGGUUUGAGAUCAGACUCGAUAUUUUGUGAGCCUUGCCUUCGUGGCGGGGUGACCCGCAGCUUAUCGGGCCAGCAUCGGUUUGGGCGGUAGGAUAAUGGCGUAGGAAUGUGACUUUACUUCGGUGAAGUGUUAUAGCCUGCGUUGAUGCUGCCUGCCUAGACCGAGGACUGCGAUUUUAUCAAGGAUGCUGGCAUAAUGAUCCCAAACCGC